This 743-nucleotide ribosomal RNA is filed under the name uncultured Bacteroidota bacterium. Its description in RNAcentral is "bacterial SSU rRNA". It matches the Rfam family "Bacterial small subunit ribosomal RNA", at positions 60 to 795 of the family's 1533-position model. Lineage: Bacteria; Pseudomonadati; Bacteroidota. The record is from RNAcentral.
AGUCGAGGGGUAACAGAGAAGCUUGCUUCUGCUGACGACCGGCGCACGGGUGCGUAACGCGUAUGCAACCUACCUUAUACAGGAGAAUACCCCUUGGAAACGAGGAAUAAUGCUCCAUAGUAUCAUCACUUCGCAUGUUGAGAUGAUUAAAGAAUUUCGGUAUAAGAUGGGCAUGCGUCCCAUUAGCUUGUUGGUGAGGUAACGGCUCACCAAGCCUACGAUGGGUAGGGGGCCUGAGAGGGUGGUCCCCCACACUGGUACUGAGACACGGACCAGACUCCUACGGGAGGCAGCAGUGAGGAAUAUUGGUCAAUGGAGGCAACUCUGAACCAGCCAUGCCGCGUGAAGGAUGACGGCCCUAUGGGUUGUAAACUUCUUUUGAAUAGGAAGAAACUUAUCUACGUGUAGAUAACUGACGGUACUAUUAGAAUAAGGAUCGGCUAACUCCGUGCCAGCAGCCGCGGUAAUACGGAGGAUCCAAGCGUUAUCCGGAUUCAUUGGGUUUAAAGGGUCCGUAGGCGGGUCUUUAAGUCAGUGGUGAAAGCCGACAGCUCAACUGUCGAACUGCCAUUGAUACUGGAGACCUUGAGUACAAAUGAAGUAGGCGGAAUGAGUCAUGUAGCGGUGAAAUGCAUAGAUAUGACUCAGAACACCGAUUGCGAAGGCAGCUUACUAACAUGUAACUGACGCUGAGGGACGAAAGCGUGGGGAGCGAACAGGAUUAGAUACCCUGGUAGAAGGGC